Molecule: non-coding RNA, 29 nt
Filed under: Homo sapiens (human)
Lineage: Eukaryota; Metazoa; Chordata; Mammalia; Primates; Hominidae
Source: RNAcentral
UUGGCUGAAAGCCGAGAUCACCUGGCCAC